UUUGGGAGGCCAAGGUGGGUGGAUCACGAGGUCCAGAGUUCGGGAAGAGCCUGGCCAACAUGGUGAAAUCUCAUCUCUACUAAA
Molecule: long non-coding RNA, 84 nt
Organism: Cebus imitator (Panamanian white-faced capuchin)
Lineage: Eukaryota; Metazoa; Chordata; Mammalia; Primates; Cebidae
Exons: 2
Source: RefSeq, a predicted model, not a curated record